Molecule: ribosomal RNA, 463 nt
Filed under: uncultured bacterium
Lineage: Bacteria
Description: partial 16S ribosomal RNA
Rfam family: Bacterial small subunit ribosomal RNA
Source: RNAcentral
GACGAACGCUGGCGGCGUGCUUAACACAUGCAAGUCGAACGGAAAGGCCUUUUCGGAGGUACUCGAGUGGCGAACGGGUGAGUAACACGUGGGUGAUCUGCCCUGCACUCUGGGAUAAGCCUGGGAAACUGGGUCUAAUACCGGAUAGGACCGCACUUUAGUGUGUGUGGUGGAAAGUUUUUUCGGUGUAGGAUGAGCCCGCGGCCUAUCAGCUUGUUGGUGGGGUAAUGGCCUACCAAGGCGGCGACGGGUAGCCGGACUGAGAGGUUGGUCGGCCACAUUAGGACUGAGAUACGGCCCAGACUCCUACGGGAGGCAGCAGUGGGGAAGAUUGCACAAUGGGAGCAAGCCUGAUGCAGCGACGCCGCGUGGGGGAUGACGGCCUUCGGGUUGUAAACUCCUUUCGCCAGGGACGAAGCGUUUUGUGACGGUACCUGGAGAAGAAGCACCGGCUAACUACGUG